AAGAGAAAUUAUAAUGCAAAGUCAGCUGUCACCUAGAGUUCCUCUGACCACUUCAGUGGGGCUUUUUAUGACCCUUCAUCUUCAUUCUUUUAGUGUAGCUAUCCGUCUGAAGUGUUUGGAGGAACUCUCGAUGGCAUCCGACGCUUCAUUCUUUUCGAUCUUCUUUUCAUCUCAACUUUUCUCAAAUAGCAGGUGCAUGAAGGGGACACGCAAAGUUAGGUGGAUGGGCUAUGGCGGUCAAAAUAUUACAAAAUAUCCUUGGAUUUCUGAAUCAUAUACAAAUUAAGCCUGUAUCCGUGUGAUAUGAAGACGGCGAGAUAUAAUUAGACAUGAAAAUGAAUUGAAGGGCUUGUUGGGGAGCUUCAUAAGGCUUGCUGGAAAUACUGCUGCCACCAGGAGUCAAGAGGAAGAUGGUCGCGAGGAA
This is a long non-coding RNA of Mangifera indica (mango), 424 nucleotides long. RefSeq lists it as uncharacterized. Lineage: Eukaryota; Viridiplantae; Streptophyta; Magnoliopsida; Sapindales; Anacardiaceae. The transcript is spliced from 3 exons. The record is from RefSeq and is a predicted model, not a curated record.